UACGAAGGGGGCUAGCGUUGUUCGGAAUCACUGGGCGUAAAGCGCACGCAGGCGGAUUGCUAAGUCAGGGGUGAAAUCCCGGAGCUCAACUUCGGAAUUGCCUUUGAUACUGUCUGUCUUGAGUCCGGGAGAGGUGAGUGGAAUUCCUAGUGUAGAGGUGAAAUUCGUAGAUAUUAGGAAGAACACCAGUGGCGAAGGCGGCUCACUGGCCCGGUACUGACGCUCAUGUGCGAAAGCGUGGGGAGCAAACAGG
Molecule: ribosomal RNA, 253 nt
Filed under: uncultured bacterium
Lineage: Bacteria
Description: partial 16S ribosomal RNA
Rfam family: Bacterial small subunit ribosomal RNA
Source: RNAcentral